Molecule: ribosomal RNA, 238 nt
Filed under: Glomeromycotina sp.
Lineage: Eukaryota; Fungi; Glomeromycota
Description: partial small subunit ribosomal RNA
Rfam family: Eukaryotic small subunit ribosomal RNA (bases 40-238)
Source: RNAcentral
GGGUCAGUAGGUUGGUCGUGCCCCCGGUACGUACUGGUCUCACUGAUUCCUCCUUCCUGAAGAACCGUAAUGCCAUUAAUUUGGUGUUGCGGGGAAACAGGACUGUUACUUUGAAAAAAUUAGAGUGUUUAAAGCAAGCUAACGCUUGAAUACAUUAGCAUGGAAUAAUGAAAUAGGACGAUCGAUCCUAUUUUGUUGGUUUCUAGGAUUGACGUAAUGAUUAAUAGGGAUAGUACGG